GCUAAGUGCAGUGUAUACUUGUAGUCCCAGCUAUUCAGGGGGCUAAGGCAGGAAAAUUGCUUGAGUCCAGGACUUCCAGGCUAUAGUGCACUACGCUGAGUGAUCAGGUGCCCACAUUAAGUUCAACAUUAAUACGGUGACCUCCUGGGGGUGGGGGACUAGCAGGUUGUCAAAAGAAGAGUGAUCUGGACAAAGUGAAAUGGAGCAGGUCAAAACUCCCAUGCUAAUCAGUACUGAGCUCUUGAUUGUGAAUACCCAAAGCACUCCAGCCUGGGCAACAUAGUGAGACCCCAUCUCU
This 298-nucleotide signal recognition particle RNA is filed under the name Cebus imitator (Panamanian white-faced capuchin). RNAcentral describes it as "Metazoan signal recognition particle RNA (ENSCCAG00000008729.1)". It matches the Rfam family "Metazoan signal recognition particle RNA". Rfam says of the family: The signal recognition particle (SRP) is a universally conserved ribonucleoprotein. It is involved in the co-translational targeting of proteins to membranes. The record is from RNAcentral. Lineage: Eukaryota; Metazoa; Chordata; Mammalia; Primates; Cebidae.